GAUGAAGAACGUAGCGAAUUGCGAUAAGUAAUGUGAAUUGCAGAAUUACGUGAAUCAUCGAAUUUUUGAACGCAAAUUGCACUCUCUUCGGGGAGUAUGCCUGUUUGAGGGUCAGUAAAAAAAAAAUUAUCAUGAAUACUUUUUGAAUUCAUGGAAUUGGAUUCUUUCAAAGGUUUUUUUCCUUUGAUGAUCUCAAAUUUUUUUGUCUAAUUUAGGCUAUAUUAAAUUGAACUAAAAAGAGCAAUUAUAUUCAAUAAAUAAAUAUUAUCUCGAAUUUUAGCGAUAUUUAUUUAGUCAAAUUUAUGAUAUUUUGGCAUUUAAAUAAAAAUGAUAAAAUGUCAUAAAAAUAUUUAACAUUGACCUCAAAUCAGGUAAGAAUACCCGCUGAACUUAAGCAUAUCAAUAAGCGGAGGA
This 414-nucleotide unclassified non-coding RNA is filed under the name soil metagenome. Its description in RNAcentral is "partial contains 5.8S ribosomal RNA, internal transcribed spacer 2, and large subunit ribosomal RNA". The stretch from base 1 to 114 matches the Rfam family "5.8S ribosomal RNA", at positions 35 to 154 of the family's 154-position model. The record is from RNAcentral.